GAUGAACGCUGACAGAAUGCUUAACACAUGCAAGUCAACUUGAACUUCGGUUUGGGUGGCGGACGGGUGAGUAACGCGUAAAGAACUUGCCUCACAGAUAGGGACAACAUUUGGAAACGAAUGCUAAUACCUGAUAUUAUGAUUAUAUGGCAUCGUAUAAUUAUGAAAGCUAUAUGCGCUGUGAGAGAGCUUUGCGUCCCAUUAGCUAGUUGGAGAGGUAACGGCUCACCAAGGCGAUGAUGGGUAGCCGGCCUGAGAGGGUGAUCGGCCACAAGGGGACUGAGACACGGCCCUUACUCCUACGGGAGGCAGCAGUGGGGAAUAUUGGACAAUGGACCAAGAGUCUGAUCCAGCAAUUCUGUGUGCACGAUGAAGUUUUUCGGAAUGUAAAGUGCUUUCAGUUGGGAAGAAAAAAAUGACGGUACCAACAGAGGAAGUGACGGCUAAAUACGUG
This 454-nucleotide ribosomal RNA is filed under the name uncultured bacterium. Its description in RNAcentral is "partial 16S ribosomal RNA". It matches the Rfam family "Bacterial small subunit ribosomal RNA", at positions 28 to 507 of the family's 1533-position model. The record is from RNAcentral.